This 476-nucleotide ribosomal RNA is filed under the name uncultured bacterium. Its description in RNAcentral is "bacterial SSU rRNA". It matches the Rfam family "Bacterial small subunit ribosomal RNA", at positions 29 to 524 of the family's 1533-position model. The record is from RNAcentral.
AUUAAACGCUGGCGGCAUGCCUUACACAUGCAAGUCGAACGGCAGCACGGGGGCAACCCUGGUGGCGAGUGGCGGACGGGUGAGUAAAGCAUCGGAACGUAUCCUGGAGUGGGGGAUAACGUAGCGAAAGUUACGCUAAUACCGCAUAUUCUGUGAGCAGGAAAGCAGGGGAUCGCAAGACCUUGCGCUCUGGGAGCGGCCGAUGUCGGAUUAGCUAGUUGGUGGGGUAAAGGCCUACCAAGGCGACGAUCCGUAGCGGGUCUGAGAGGAUGAUCCGCCACACUGGGACUGAGACACGGCCCAGACUCCUACGGGAGGCAGCAGUGGGGAAUAUUGGACAAUGGGCGAAAGCCUGAUCCAGCCAUGCCGCGUGAGUGAUGAAGGCCCUAGGGUUGUAAAGCUCUUUCAACGGUGAAGAUAAUGACGGUAACCGUAGAAGAAGCCCCGGCUAACUUCGUGCCAGCAGCCGCGGUAAU